Long non-coding RNA from Lagenorhynchus albirostris (white-beaked dolphin), 268 nucleotides. RefSeq lists it as uncharacterized. Lineage: Eukaryota; Metazoa; Chordata; Mammalia; Artiodactyla; Delphinidae. The record is from RefSeq and is a predicted model, not a curated record. The transcript has 3 exons.
GCAGCGGGGCGGAGUGAGCAGCUGGGCGGAGUGAGCAGCUUGGCGGUCGCGCAGUUCCACCACAGCGCUACGUCAGGGCCUACGGACAAGAUGCAGGGUACAUCAAGUUGAUUUUGGAGCUUUAAUCCGCUGUUUCUGAGGCUGCUGGUAGAGAUUUCCCUUUCUCUUCUUUGUUCUCACAGCUCAGAGGGACUCAGCUUUGGAUUUGUCCCCGCCUCUGCGUAGGCUCAGGCCUGACACCUGGCCGGAGCAACAAGACCCUGUCAAC